RNAcentral lists this ribosomal RNA (253 nucleotides) under uncultured bacterium. RNAcentral's name for it is "partial 16S ribosomal RNA". It matches the Rfam family "Bacterial small subunit ribosomal RNA", at positions 524 to 776 of the family's 1533-position model. The record is from RNAcentral.
UACGAAGGGAGCUAGCGUUGUUCGGAAUCACUGGGCGUAAAGCGCACGUAGGCGGACUCUUAAGUCGGUGGUGAAAUCCUGGAGCUCAACUCCAGAACUGCCUUCGAUACUGGGAGUCUCGAGUCCGGGAGAGGUGAGUGGAACUGCGAGUGUAGAGGUGAAAUUCGUAGAUAUUCGCAAGAACACCAGUGGCGAAGGCGGCUCACUGGCCCGGUACUGACGCUGAGGUGCGAAAGCGUGGGGAGCAAACAGG